GAUGAACGCUGGCGGCGUGCCUAAUACAUGCAAGUCGAGCGAACAGACGAGGAGCUUGCUCCUCUGACGUUAGCGGCGGACGGGUGAGUAACACGUGGAUAACCUACCUAUAAGACUGGGAUAACUUCGGGAAACCGGAGCCAAUACCGGAUAAUAUAUUGAACCGCAUGGUUCAAUAGUGAAAGACGGGUUUGCUGUCUCUUAUAGAUGGAUCCGCGCCGCAUUAGCUAGUUGGUAAGGUAACGGCUUACCAAGGCAACGAUGCGUAGCCGACCUGAGAGGGUGAUCGGCCACACUGGAACUGAGACACGGUCCAGACUCCUACGGGAGGAAGCAGUAGGGAAUCUUACGCAAUGGGCGAAAGCCUGACAGAGCAACGCCGCGUGAGUGAUGAAGGUCUUCGGAUCGGAAAGCUCUGUUAUUAGUGAAGAACAAAUGUGUAAGUAACUAUGCACGUCUUGACGGUACCUAAUCAAAAAGCCACGGCUAACUACGUG
This 497-nucleotide ribosomal RNA is filed under the name uncultured bacterium. RNAcentral's name for it is "partial 16S ribosomal RNA". It matches the Rfam family "Bacterial small subunit ribosomal RNA", at positions 28 to 507 of the family's 1533-position model. The record is from RNAcentral.